GAUGAAGAACGUAGUGAAAUGCGAUACGUAAUGUGAAUUGCAGAAUUCAGUGAAUCAUCGAGUCUUUGAACGCACAUUGCGCCCCCUGGUAUUCCGGGGGGCAUGCCUGUCCGAGCGUCAUUGCUGCCCUCAAGCACGGCUUGUGUGUUGGGCCUCCGUCCUCCUCCCGGGGGACGGGCCCGAAAGGCAGCGGCGGCACCGCGUCCGGUCCUCGAGCAUAUGGGGCUUCGUCACCCGCUCUUGUAGGCCCGGCCGGCGCUUGCCGACACAUCAAUCUUUUUUCCAGGUUGACCUCGGAUCAGGUAGGGAUACCCGCUGAACUUAAGCAUAUCAAUAAGCGGAGGA
This 345-nucleotide unclassified non-coding RNA is filed under the name soil metagenome. RNAcentral describes it as "partial contains 5.8S ribosomal RNA, internal transcribed spacer 2, and large subunit ribosomal RNA". The stretch from base 1 to 120 matches the Rfam family "5.8S ribosomal RNA", at positions 35 to 154 of the family's 154-position model. The record is from RNAcentral.